UGGGGAAUUUUGGACAAUGGGCGCAAGCCUGAUCCAGCCAUGCCGCGUGAGUGAAGAAGGCCUUCGGGUUGUAAAGCUCUUUCGGCCGGAACGAAAUCGCGCCCCCUAAUACGGGGUGUGGAUGACGGUACCGGAAGAAGAAGCACCGGCUAACUACGUGCCAGCAGCCGCGGUAAUACGUAGGGUGCGAGCGUUAAUCGGAAUUACUGGGCGUAAAGCGUGCGCAGGCGGCGCGCCAAGUCAGAUGUGAAAGCCCCGGGCUUAACCUGGGAAUUGCGUUUGAAACUGGCGGGCUGGAGUGUGGCAGAGGGAGGUGGAAUUCCACGUGUAGCAGUGAAAUGCGUAGAGAUGUGGAGGAACACCGAUGGCGAAGGCAGCCUCCUGGGCCAACACUGACGCUCAUGCACGAAAGCGUGGGGAGCAAACAGG
Molecule: ribosomal RNA, 429 nt
Filed under: uncultured bacterium
Lineage: Bacteria
Description: bacterial SSU rRNA
Rfam family: Bacterial small subunit ribosomal RNA
Source: RNAcentral